CCUACGGGUGGCAGCAGUGGGGAAUAUUGCACAAUGGGGGAAACCCUGAUGCAGCGACGCCGCGUGAGCGAUGAAGUAUUUCGGUAUGUAAAGCUCUAUCAGCAGGGAAGAAAAUGACGGUACCUUACUAAGAAGCCCCUGCUAACUACGUGCCAGCGACCGCGGUAAUACGUAGGGGGCAAGCGUUAUCCUGCUUUACGGGGUGUAAAGGGAGCGUAGACGGCGAUGCAAGCCAGAUGUGAAAGCCCGGGGCUGAAACCCGGGACUGCAUUUGGAACUGUAUAGCUGGAGUGUCGGAGAGGCAGGCGGAAUUCGUAGUGUAGCGGUGAAAUGCGUAGAUAUUAGGAGGAACACCAGUGGCGAAGGCGGCCUGCUGGACGAUGACUGACGUUGAGGCUCGAAAGCGUGGGGAGCAAACAGGAUUAGAUACCCCGGUAGUC
Molecule: ribosomal RNA, 440 nt
Filed under: uncultured bacterium
Lineage: Bacteria
Description: partial 16S ribosomal RNA
Rfam family: Bacterial small subunit ribosomal RNA
Source: RNAcentral